UGCAGUGGAUGCCGUUAUAACUUCCAAAUUGGGAACUUCAUCGCAAAAUACGACAGAAAGUUCGGAAUAACUAGCAAAAAUGGAAUUCAACGUGUUCUGCGUACGCUGAACCCAUUCCUUAAAAAGGCCAGCCGAGUCUAAUAAAACAGACGCACCUGCAUGACGAACUCUAGCGAAUUUUGCAGUCUUUGGCCGAGUUCUUUUGUGGUGUGAAACCAAUUGUUUCGGAUAUUUGGCGGUACAUCUCUUUUGUUAACCAAGAAACUGACUAAUCCUGGGUACACAGACAAGAGGGAAAAGGCGUGAACUGUUAAAGGAAUUGCGAAGCUGUAUGUGCGAUCGGGAUGGUCCAGCGCACAUUUAAGGGAUGAAGCCGCGGAACAAAACGUCGAAUUUAAGUCUCCAUCGCGAAACGUGUGAAUCAACUCUUUGCAUGUCUCAGCGGCUCCAGUAUUAAUGGUGGGAGAUCUCGAAAGACGUAAGCUAGAUCGUCUGGAAGAGUCGAUACUAAAUCUGCUAUCAUCCAAAACACUCAUACUGCUGUCAUGGCAUUUCAGCAAUUUAUCAAGCUUUUCUUUCAAGGCAGGAACAAAAAGUGCAGAUGCGCCAUCUUCCAACUGCCACACAUCACCUCUCUCAAAAACAGUAGAAGUGGGGAAUUUUCCUGAUUCAUCAAUAGCUUCUCGCAAAACUUCCAACCGUUUUCGCAUUGUAUCAAUGCUCCAGUACAUCACCAACUGGCGAUCCAAAUCUUGAACGCAGAUCAUGGGCUGCAGAUCAUCGGAAUACCAGUACCAUGUCAGGUCCCUUCCUCCUGCCCGUUAUGUUGCAAGAUCGGGACGUUACUUCUGAAUGCGAGUGUCAAAGACAAGUAUGUCGUCACUUUGCAGGGGCGUUUUGACCUAGCAGCAUCAAUAAUUGUUUGUUCUACUUGCAACAGCAUUUGUACUUCACCAAGAGCUCGUCCGCAUGAAGAAAUUGAAGACUGAAGCAAAAAGUCUUUUUGAAUUACCUGAUUACGGAAUGUAUCAUGAUGUGCCUUCUGAAUCUGAGUCGGAAGAUGACUUCAGUGAGGUGUAUUAAAGAUUAUAAAAGAA
Daphnia magna is the source of this 1097-nucleotide long non-coding RNA. RefSeq lists it as uncharacterized. The record is from RefSeq and is a predicted model, not a curated record. NCBI's taxonomy places the organism in Eukaryota, Metazoa, Arthropoda, Branchiopoda, Diplostraca, Daphniidae. The transcript has 4 exons.